AGUUAGCGGCGGACGGGUGAGUAACACGUGGGUAACCUGCCCAUAAGACUGGGAUAACUCCGGGAAACCGGGGCUAAUACCGGAUAACAUUUUGAACUGCAUGGUUCGAAAUUGAAAGGCGGCUUCGGCUGUCACUUAUGGAUGGACCCGCGUCGCAUUAGCUAGUUGGUGAGGUAACGGCUCACCAAGGCAACGAUGCGUAGCCGACCUGAGAGGGUGAUCGGCCACACUGGGACUGAGACACGGCCCAGACUCCUACGGGAGGCAGCAGUAGGGAAUCUUCCGCAAUGGACGAAAGUCUGACGGAGCAACGCCGCGUGAGUGAUGAAGGCUUUCGGGUCGUAAAACUCUGUUGUUAGGGAAGAACAAGUGCUAGUUGAAUAAGCUGGCACCUUGACGGUACCUAACCAGAAAGCCACGGCUAACUACGUGCCAGCAGCCGCGGUAAUACGUAGGUGGCAAGCGUUAUCCGGAAUUAUUGGGCGUAAAGCGCGCGCA
RNAcentral lists this ribosomal RNA (498 nucleotides) under Bacillus toyonensis. Its description in RNAcentral is "bacterial SSU rRNA". It matches the Rfam family "Bacterial small subunit ribosomal RNA", at positions 90 to 573 of the family's 1533-position model. Lineage: Bacteria; Bacillati; Bacillota; Bacilli; Caryophanales; Bacillaceae. The record is from RNAcentral.